GGUGGUGGGUGCGCAGAGGGAGAGAUUUGGAGAAGAGAGAGCUACUGAGUACUAAGCUAGGUUUCGAUUGGGGAUUUGGGGGUUAGGGACGCUCCAACACUGGACACACACUCGCGCAGCACUGCAACAGCACUCGAUUCAUUCGUUUGGGGCGUGGGGGUCAGGGGUUAGUAAUUUUUAGGGUUUUUUUUGCCGAACCGGUUCGGUUCGAUUCGGUUAGGAUUUUCAAAGUUAAAACCGAAAACCGAAUCGAACCGCAAAAAAUAACAAAACUUUUUUUUUUUCGAUUUUUUCGGUUAUCGAUUUGUUCGAUUUUCGGUUAUUUCAGUUCGAUUCGUCGAUUUAGUUCGGUCCGGAUCGGUUUUAAACACCCCUAUAUGGGAUGAUGUCAUCAGUGCAAAAGCUAAUAAAUUUUUUUAGAGACUUUUUUGUUUCAGAGAGAAUGUGGAUAUUGAUACAUUAGGAGAUAUCCCUCUUCCUCAUUUAAGUCAAGAUGCUUGUAGGUCUCUUACUGCGCCGGUUAUCUUGGAAGAAAAGGAUUGUUGUCAUGGGCAUGAACUCUUUCAAGGCCUCUGGUCUAAAUGGUUUUCAGGCUUUCUUCUAUAAGAAAUUUUGAGAUAUUGUUGGUGAGGAUAUACGACAGAUUGCGAGUGUGGUCUUUACUGGGGUCAUAUUCAUCCUUCUAUUCAAGAGACUCUCAUUAUGCUUAUUCCCAAGGUGAAGUCUCCCACUUUGUUUAAGGGGUUUCGUCCUAUUAGUUUUUGUAAUGUGGUUUAUAAGAUUACUAGUUUACUACAAAAGUUCUUGUUAACCGCCUACGCCCUUUCUCACUGAGAUAGUAGGACCUCUUCAAGGAGGCUUUAUUCUUAGCCGAGGGGCCACUAAUAAUAUUAUUGUUCCAUAAGAGAUUUUGCAUCAUAUGAAGAUAACUAAGUAAAAAAAAGGCAAGUUAGUCUUUAAAAUUGACUUGAAAAAGGCUUAUGAAAGGGUUGAUUGGAGGUUCCUUGAGCAUUUCUUGUGCAGUUUUGGUUUAAGCUACAUGGCCCAUCUGAUUAUGAACUGUGUUUGCUCCUCUUCCUUUUCCAUUUGUGGAAUGGAAAUAAACUGGACAGUUUCAAUCCACAUAAGGGUCUUAGACAAGGGUUUAACAUUCCUGGAUAUUCUUCAAGCUGCUGGAGGAAUAUUGCUUCAAUUUUUAUUUGAUUAAAAGACGGCUUUUCUUAGAGUAUUGGCGACUUGGAGCAAUCUUUCUGGGAUGUUUGGGAGAAUGGAGAAAUAUAUUCCUGGUCUGUGUGUCGGUCUGAGAUCUUUGCUAUCUGGAGAGGCUUGGUGCUUAUUUGGGAGUGUGACUUGAAAUCAAUAGUUUGUGAAAGUGACUCUAGAUAUGCUUUUCUGGCGAUUCAACAACCUCUAGGUGCAGCUCAUGGGGAUAGCACAGAUUUAUUGAUGAAGAUUCAUGAUUUGUUGAACAGAGCGUGGGUGGUUUAUUUUAAUUUAGUUGUAAGGGAAGCUAAUUCCAUUGCAAAUUGUUUGGCUAUACUGAGAGCUCGUGAUAAUGAUGAAUACUUAGAAUGGCUACAACCUUAGACUUGUUUCUUUGUUUUUUUUUAUUGUUUAUUUAGACAAAAAAAUGUGGUAAUAGAAUGAAAUGGAUGUAUUUUUAAAGUGUGAGUAUAUUUGUAAAUUUAGUCUAUGCUUUAUAAACAUGGUCUAUUCUAUUUUUAUUUUGUAAUAUUCCAUAAAUUAAAGUAAAA
This is a long non-coding RNA of Arachis stenosperma, 1754 nucleotides long. RefSeq lists it as uncharacterized. The transcript is spliced from 3 exons. The record is from RefSeq and is a predicted model, not a curated record. Lineage: Eukaryota; Viridiplantae; Streptophyta; Magnoliopsida; Fabales; Fabaceae.